Molecule: long non-coding RNA, 148 nt
Organism: Brienomyrus brachyistius
Lineage: Eukaryota; Metazoa; Chordata; Actinopteri; Osteoglossiformes; Mormyridae
Exons: 3
Source: RefSeq, a predicted model, not a curated record
UGUCGUGGCAAAACUUAAUUUCUACUGAUUCCAUUGUCUAGAAGAGAGAAGGACUUCAGCUUCACUCCAACGACGUGUAAGACUGCUGAAAAAAGAUGCACAGUAAUCAUCCCGCUAAAGCAGAACUACACUGUCAUCGUAUUAAAGG